UGGCUCAGGAUGAACGCUAGCGACAGGCUUAACACAUGCAAGUCGGUGGGGCAGGCGGGGGUGAAGGCUUGCCUUCACCUGCCGGCGACCGGCGCACGGGUGAGUAACACGUAUGCAACCUGGCCGUGACAGGAGGAUAACCGGUAGAAAUGCCGCCUAAUACUCCAUAAUACUUUGCGGGGACAUCCCCGUGAGGUCAAAAGGAAAGAAUUAUCGGACAAGGAUGGGCAUGCGGGACAUUAGGUAGUUGGGGGUGUAACGGACCACCAAGCCGACGAUGUCUAGGGGUUCUGAGAGGAACGGUCCCCCACACUGGUACUGAGACACGGACCAGACUCCUACGGGAGGCAGCAGUGAGGAAUAUUGGUCAAUGGGCGAGAGCCUGAACCAGCCAAGUCGCGUGAGGGAAGACGGUACUAAGUAUUGUAAACCUUCUUUUGUCAGGGAACAAAGAGACCACGUGUGGUAAGAUGAGUGUACCUGAAGAAAAAGCAUCGGCUAACUCCGUG
This 509-nucleotide ribosomal RNA is filed under the name uncultured bacterium. RNAcentral describes it as "bacterial SSU rRNA". It matches the Rfam family "Bacterial small subunit ribosomal RNA", at positions 20 to 507 of the family's 1533-position model. The record is from RNAcentral.